CAGUCACAAAAAUUGCUAUCCCUAACUUGAGAAAAAUCUUGUCCAUAUUCUCUCACUUGAAGCUCUUUCAGGUAUCUGCAAGUUUUUAUUUUUAUGACUUAAUUGCUUUCUCCUUGAAUAUAAUUCCUGACAUAAGGGAUAUAAUUCUUGACACAAGGGUAAAUCAUCUCAGUUUUGUACAUAGAGAUUAUAUCAGUUUAUGGUUAAUGAUAGUGUCAAGUAUAGCUUCCUCCGUUGAUAUGGAAUCAUAGGGCACAACUUACAUAAAUAUUUAUUUAAAUCUUUAAAGAAAGCAUAAAAUUAUUACAAAACCCCCCAAUUUGACAAAAUUGAUUCAUGAUUAUAUCUGUUACAAAUCAAUGACUUCUUUGUCAGGACGUUUUUACGAGGGAUCACCCAACUAAUUUAUUUGUGAAAUAUACGAGAAGUAAGUCGAAAAGGAAUAACUAUACGUUUUAAAAUUGUUAAUCAUGUUCACAAUAGACAUAUAUUUAGCGCUUGAUUCCUAUAAUUUAUUUAAUGGUUUGCUGCUUAAUCAUUUUCAACCACACAUUCAUACAAUAAAUUAUUCUACACAUUCUUUUAAAAAUUUUCCUCCCUUUUAACUACACAUUCAAAAACUACUGUUCAAAACUUAUUUUCUUUUCAAUUAAUGGGAAUUAAACAGGCACUUAAUUUUGUUAGGUUUUGUAAUUGAAUUUUAGAUAUGGAAAAUUUGGCUCAUUUGUUUUAUAAUGUUUUGCAUGAUAAUAGAGUUAAAGAUGGACACCUACUAAAGAUUAAUCUAAUCCUCAAUAUACUUUUAUCAUUUUCGGUCUAGGAUUCACCUUUUUUACGUUUAUAUUAUAGUGCAAAAUGAUUAUUAAUUCUCUGCCUGAAUUGAACACUAUAAAGAAUGCAAAUAUAAAAUAAAAAGUUUAAAGCCAGAGAUUUAAAAACUUCUUUUUGGACGGUUGAAAUUAACUUUAAGUAUGUAAUUAUUCAUGCCUUAAAUUUUAUAUUGAAGCAGUUGGAUAAUGAUAUUAAAAUUAAUUGUUGUUUGACAAUUAAGUUUUGAUGCUGGACCCUUUGUAAUUUCUGUGUUACAUUUGUUGUGAUUUUGUUGGUUUGCUCAAUAAAAUUUGAUGCUGGACCCUUUCCUGCAUUACACUUGUCUUGAUUUGGUUUGUAUAAAAAAUUAAAGUUUGAUGUUGAUUGUUCAAAUAUGUGUGACGUGUUUUACAUGGGAAUCGAAAAUAUGUAUUUAAAUUCUCAAUAUAUAUAUAUUUUCAGGGAAAAAUACAGUAUUAAUUCCUCAUAUUUAAUUUGAAAAUCUCUGUCAUCGAUCAAUAUAUUUGUUGCACUAGGCAAGAAAUAUUAAGGGAGAAAUUAUUAAUUAUAGAAACUAUAAAAAAAUUUGAAGAUGGAAAAUUUAGCUUAUUUGUUUUAGAAUGUUUUGCACGGCAAUAGAAUUAAAGAUGGGAGCCUACAAAGUACUAACUAGUGGUCUAAUUCUCAAAAUACUUUCAUCAUUUUUGGUCUAGGAUUCGCCUUUUUAAGUUUAUAUAUCACAGCCCAAAAUGAUUAUUAAUUUUCUUCUUGAAUUAAAAACUGUUUGGGCCUCUUUUUUGGCUAAGAAUACAUUUUCGAAUAAUAGUUUGAUGAAGAAUGUGUAGUUAGAAAAUAAGAAAAAAAUUUGGAUUUGUUUGUAAUAUUAUUUCAUUGAAGAAUUUGUGGUUGAAAAGAAAAGUGAUGCAGGAGGAUCCGAGUCAAGUGAUGCUGAUUUGUCAGAUAACACGAUAAUGGCGCUGAGAUACCAUGGGAUGGUGGAUCGGCGCAAAGAUGGAAAGUGAAUCGCAAUUAUUUCUUUAAUUGGGAGAAUUUGAUACGUCUUUGGUAAUUUGGCCAUAACUUUGGCUACAGUUAUCGGAAUCGCUAUUAUGACCCCAAUCCGGAAAGCUCUUUUCGACGCGCACGUUGUUGCCACCCAACUAUGCUCAGUGGACGUCAAUUUCAAGCCCAAAAUUCACUGUUUUCCUUUCCAAAAUUCAAUUUUAAGAUAUUUUUUACUAUUUAUGGUAAUAUUUCGUUUCCCUUUUUCCAUAUGUUAGAAAACUCGAAUUAAGCCAAAUUUUUGGCAACUUACUUCUUUUACUUAAUAUUUUAUUUUGGAAUAAUUUCGGAAUUUUGCCAUUUUUGGUAAUUUUAUCAUAAUUUCGAAUUUCGUAGCUAUUUAACUUGGUUUGUGGGUUAAUUUUGAUCAUUCUUCAUUAUUAAUAAUAUUGAGUUGAGUUCAGAGUAUUUUCUCUAGUUUUUGGGCGUUUUCUGUCGUUUCUUUCUUGCAAAUCAUCUGCUACAACAAGCCAAUAUGAUAAUCACUAUCCUACCCGACAUCAAUUGGUAUCAGAGCGUCAUCAUCUUCUUGGGAGAUAAAUUUCAUCAGUUAUAAUGGUUGGUGGACGUGGACAUGGACGUGGUCGUGGUCGUCGAGGACAGGUUCCGAUUGAGGAAGUCCCGCACCGUGAUCGUAAUAUUCACGAUGUGACGAUUGAAGAUUUGCAUAGACAAGUUGCGAAGUUAACCCAACGUUUGACGGAGCAGGAGUUCGGUAAUCAUGAUGUGGAGGGUCACGAUUCCGAUAGCAGUUUCGAAAACCCGUAUCACCAUCGUGCUCGAGUUUGAAAGUAUCGUGGACGGGAGGAUCGUCAUGUGGAUCUCGGUUUCAGAGUGGAUCUGCCCGAGUUUUCUGAUACAUUGCAGGCUGAAGGAUUUAUUGAUUGGCUAAAUGAAGUGGAGCGAAUUUUUGAAUAUAAGGAGGUUCCAGAUCGUGUCAAAGUGAAACUGGUCGCCAUCAAACUCAAAGGUAGAGCAUCUACAUGGUGGGAACAGUUGAAGCGUUCACGGGAGCGACAGGGGAAAUCCAAAAUUACUAACUAGGAGAAGAUGAAGAAGAAGAUGAAAGGGCACUUUCUCCCUUUCGGCUAUACUCAAACCUUGUUUCAAAGGCUUCAUUUACUGAGGCAAGGCGCAAGAUCAGUCAGUGAUUAUACUGAAGAAUGAUAGUGUCAAGUAUAUAUAAAAAUAUAUUUUGAAAAUAAUAGGGAUCAAACAAGGGUUAUAAAGCAUGAAAAAGCAAAAUAAGAAGGUUGAUAGCUAAGUAUUAAUAGGCUUCCUUUUUGACGGUUGAAACUUUACGUAUGAAAUUGUUCAUGUCUUAAAUUUUAGGCUGAACCAGUUGGAUAAUGAUAUUCAAAUACUCAUGGUUUUACAAUUAAAUUUUGAUGCAGGACGAUUUGUAUUUUC
This 3282-nucleotide long non-coding RNA is filed under the name Olea europaea subsp. europaea. Lineage: Eukaryota; Viridiplantae; Streptophyta; Magnoliopsida; Lamiales; Oleaceae. The record is from RNAcentral.